RNAcentral lists this ribosomal RNA (856 nucleotides) under uncultured bacterium. RNAcentral describes it as "bacterial SSU rRNA". It matches the Rfam family "Bacterial small subunit ribosomal RNA", at positions 8 to 853 of the family's 1533-position model. The record is from RNAcentral.
AGAGUUUGAUCAUGGCUCAGAUUGAACGCUGGCGGCAGGCCUAACACAUGCAAGUCGAACGGUAACAGGAAGAAGCUUGCUUCUUUGCUGACGAGUGGCGGACGGGUGAGUAAUGUCUGGGAAACUGCCUGAUGGAGGGGGAUAACUACUGGAAACGGUAGCUAAUACCGCAUAACGUCGCAAGACCAAAGAGGGGGACCUUCGGGCCUCUUGCCAUCGGAUGUGCCCAGAUGGGAUUAGCUAGUAGGUGGGGUAACGGCUCACCUAGGCGACGAUCCCUAGCUGGUCUGAGAGGAUGACCAGCCACACUGGAACUGAGACACGGUCCAGACUCCUACGGGAGGCAGCAGUGGGGAAUAUUGCACAAUGGGCGCAAGCCUGAUGCAGCCAUGCCGCGUGUAUGAAGAAGGCCUUCGGGUUGUAAAGUACUUUCAGCGGGGAGGAAGGGAGUAAAGUUAAUACCUUUGCUCAUUGACGUUACCCGCAGAAGAAGCACCGGCUAACUCCGUGCCAGCAGCCGCGGUAAUACGGAGGGUGCAAGCGUUAAUCGGAAUUACUGGGCGUAAAGCGCACGCAGGCGGUUUGUUAAGUCAGAUGUGAAAUCCCCGGGCUCAACCUGGGAACUGCAUCUGAUACUGGCAAGCUUGAGUCUCGUAGAGGGGGGUAGAAUUCCAGGUGUAGCGGUGAAAUGCGUAGAGAUCUGGAGGAAUACCGGUGGCGAAGGCGGCCCUCUGGACGAAGACUGACGCUCAGGUGCGAAAGCAUGGGGAGCAAACAGGAUUAGAUACCCUGGUAGUCCACGCCGUAAACGAUGUCGACUUGGAGGUUGUGCCCUUGAGGCGUGGCUUCCGGAGCU